AAGAAGCCAUUUGCAUGUUAAUAUCUAGUUAUUUCCACGGGCAUCCUGGCACAAGGACAGGCCACCAUCCUUAAUCAAAAAUUCUGUGACCUGCCUCCAGCUCUUCUCCCCACAGAGCAGACUGGUGCUUUGGAGGGGGGAGAGUCGGGAGUGGCCAAGCCCCUUUGGAGUAACAGCACACCCCUCCAAGCUACAGAUCUCCAUGAAACCGCCACAGGGCAUUUCUGCACCUGGAGUCUUGCCUGGGUUUCAGGUGUGCAAAUGCAUCAGGUGAGGUCAACCGCCACCAGAGAGGCUGGCCUGUGGCUCCAGGGGGAUGAGCCACUUUAGUGACCCAGUGUCAGUUGAAGGUGGAGAAGUCCUGCCAGGAGACACCUGUGGGCUUGCUCACUGGAUGUGGCCCCAGGGCGAAGGGCUGCACCAUCCGGAGCCACCAACUUCUGUGGGUUUGGGGGAAGACCCUAAGAGCUUGUAGUUGACCGGUGACGAGUCCUUGCUUCCCCAAGGUUGAAGAAUAACACCAGAGAAGCACGCCAAGGCUAGGUCAGAGUGGAAAUUAGAAGUUUAUUAAAGGACAGCAGAAAAGACUUCUCCCGGAGGAAGAAGGGGACCCAAGAGGUAAAAUGCCCCCACUGGGCUCUGCUCCCCCAGGGGCAAACGGUGAGAAAUGCUUGGCCCAGUGGCUGAUGCCUGAGGAUCCUCCCACGUGGCCAGAAGGGGAGCCUGGGGCUGCUGGCCCGAGGUGGCGUCAGAAGGAAGUCCUCCG
Molecule: non-coding RNA, 766 nt
Organism: Ictidomys tridecemlineatus (thirteen-lined ground squirrel)
Lineage: Eukaryota; Metazoa; Chordata; Mammalia; Rodentia; Sciuridae
Source: RefSeq, a predicted model, not a curated record